Carassius gibelio (silver crucian carp) is the source of this 373-nucleotide long non-coding RNA. RefSeq lists it as uncharacterized. Lineage: Eukaryota; Metazoa; Chordata; Actinopteri; Cypriniformes; Cyprinidae. The transcript has 3 exons. The record is from RefSeq and is a predicted model, not a curated record.
UUUCAUUUGGUGUGGUCACCAGGCAAUUCUGUGAUCACAGAUUUAGAAACCACAGGUACUUUGCAUUACAUUGGAGCCGUCAAGACAGAGGUGUAAACAUGUCGAAUUCAAUGGUAGUCAUGCAGCCCCAGCCUGUUAUGGUCUCCAGAGAUUCAGAUCAGUGGGGGUCUGGUAUCUGUGACUGUUGCAAUGACGUUCCUGAAUGUUGCUUUGCUUACUGGUGUUUCUCGUGUUUCACAUGCAUAAUAGCAAAGGAAUACGGUGAGUGUUUAUGUCUCCCCCUUUUGGAUGUCUGUGGCAUCGUCCCACCUAUAACAAUGUCCAUAAGGGUCUCAAUGCGCCAGCGUUAUGGCAUUGAGGUAAGAAUCAUUAA